UGCGCAGGCGGUUUUGUAAGUCAGAUGUGAAAUCCCCGGGCUCAACCUGGGAAUUGCAUUUGAAACUGUAAUACUUGAGUACUGGAGAGGUAAGUGGAAUUCCUAGUGUAGCGGUGAAAUGCGUAGAUAUUAGGAGGAACACCAGUGGCGAAGGCGACUUACUGGACAGAUACUGACGCUGAGGCGCGAAAGCGUGGGGAGCAAACAGGAUUCGAUACCCUCGUA
RNAcentral lists this ribosomal RNA (225 nucleotides) under uncultured Alkalibacter sp. RNAcentral's name for it is "partial 16S ribosomal RNA". It matches the Rfam family "Bacterial small subunit ribosomal RNA", at positions 568 to 792 of the family's 1533-position model. The record is from RNAcentral. Lineage: Bacteria; Bacillati; Bacillota; Clostridia; Eubacteriales; Eubacteriaceae.